RNAcentral lists this ribosomal RNA (332 nucleotides) under uncultured bacterium. RNAcentral's name for it is "bacterial SSU rRNA". It matches the Rfam family "Bacterial small subunit ribosomal RNA", at positions 568 to 898 of the family's 1533-position model. The record is from RNAcentral.
CGCGUAGGCGGUCUGUUAAGUUGAAUGUGAAAACUCUGGGCUUAACCCAGAGCCUGCAUUCAAUACUGGCAGGCUAGAGUUCUGGAGGGGAUAGCGGAAUUCCUGGUGUAGCGGUGAAAUGCGUAGAUAUCAGGAGGAACACCGGUGGCGAAGGCGGCUAUCUGGACAGAGUCUGACGCUGAGGCGCGAAAGCUAGGGGAGCAAACAGGAUUAGAUACCCUGGUAGUCCUAGCCCUAAACGAUGGAUACUUGCUGUGACUGGGAUUGAAUCCAGCCGUGGCGAAGCUAACGCAUUAAGUAUCCCGCCUGGGGAGUACGGUCGCAAGGCUGAA